Molecule: ribosomal RNA, 255 nt
Filed under: uncultured bacterium
Lineage: Bacteria
Description: partial 16S ribosomal RNA
Rfam family: Archaeal small subunit ribosomal RNA
Source: RNAcentral
UACCAGCACCCCCGAGUGGUCGGGACGAUUAUUGGGCCUAAAGCAUCCGUAGCCGGUCCUGCGAGUCUUCCGUUAAAUCCAGCUGCUCAACAGAUGGGCUGCGGAAGAUACUACAGGGCUAGGAGGCGGGAGAGGCAAGCGGUACUUUAUGGGGUAGGGGUAAAAUCCUUUGAUCCAUAGAAGACCACCAGUGGCGAAGGCGGCUUGCCAGAACGCGCUCGACGGUGAGGGAUGAAAGCUGGGGGAGCAAACGGG